GGAGAAUGUUGCCUUCAUGGGAUGGUGGCUCAUGCUGGUGUGGUAAUCCAGUGCAGCUGUUUUGGAGCACUGUGUGGACUGCGGCGUUGAAGAAGGCGUGCGCACUCAGCGGGACUUCUUCCUUCCAGUCGCUCUACAGGGCGCACGGCAAACUCAUCACCUGGAGCCAACGGUGGCUGCCAGUCACACCGCACGUGCUCAGCGGUGCGUGCUCACGAGCGGCUGCCCUUCCUCGACCGCGGCCUCAGAUCCAGAGGCUUCGCCGGAUUUGGCUGCUCCCUUCGCUUACUUGCAGGGAGGUCAAGAGGAUGUUACAGUGUCCUAGAUUCUUAGCUUAACUUUAAUUUCAUAAUGAAGCUCUAUUUGUUAGCAAGACCUCACUGGUGAAACUCACCUUAUUUGAGGUAAAAAUGCUCUUUCGUUUUGAUAUACCUGACAGUUCCACGCUUCCUUAUGGUAUUUCUCAGUUUGUGAAUAAACCUUUGCCAAAACUACAUCUAAUGGCUGGAGAGCACAAUACUAUCCCAGUACACAGUGUGCAGUGGGAUUCUUUACUGCAGUCCCUACACCCGUAUCUGGAGGGGGGAUGCCUAGCACCCAACACCGAAACCAGACAACAACCAUUGGUUGCCCGAUGGUCCAUUAAGAAUUCUACUCCUAUGAGGAAACAAACCCAGUAAACACAUUCUUAUUGAGGGAGACAGUGAAAUUGCAAUUGAAUAAAUUAAGUUUCUUGUAAGAGAGAAGAAUUUGUUAUAUGCAUUGCAUAUGUGUAUAGGGAAUUGAAUUCUAAACACCUGCCAGUUGCUGUGAUAGAGACACUGAUCAAUCAGAGCUGUUGCUGGCUUGUUCCCUGCUAUGAUCAGACUGGGCUUUGGGGACUCAGUAUUCCCUACAGGGACAUAUGACUAAGAUAUCAAAAGCUUAUGCCAAAAUACUUUAGAAUACAAAAGUGGAAACAAUGUCUAAUUACAAUUUCCAUGAAACAUUUGAAAAACUCCAUUUUAUUCAAUAAAUAA
RNAcentral lists this long non-coding RNA (1019 nucleotides) under Chinchilla lanigera (long-tailed chinchilla). RNAcentral's name for it is "lncRNA (ENSCLAG00000023338.1)". Lineage: Eukaryota; Metazoa; Chordata; Mammalia; Rodentia; Chinchillidae. The record is from RNAcentral.